Molecule: long non-coding RNA, 1868 nt
Organism: Fukomys damarensis (Damara mole-rat)
Lineage: Eukaryota; Metazoa; Chordata; Mammalia; Rodentia; Bathyergidae
Exons: 3
Source: RefSeq, a predicted model, not a curated record
CCUCAAACUUGCAGUCAUCUUCCUGCCUCAGCUUCCUGAGAGCUGGGCAUAUAGGUAUGCACCGACAUGCUCGGCCUCACCUAUUUGCUGAAACGAUUCCAAGUUAAGAAUCCUGCCAUGAGACACAGGUACUUAUCUGAAGCCAUUUAAGACACUUAUUUCAGAUUCACUGCAAAAUCAAGGAAGAUGCAGAGACUCCCACCAAACCUACUGUCCUCACACACCAGCAGCAUCUACCGCUAUUGACAUGUGCCAAUGUGUCGCCCCCGGAGGGAUGUCAACAGAGUACGUCCCAGCCCCACAGAGCCCUGGGUGCUCAUCUGAAGUUUAAAAUCAGGAGAGUCUGACAUCGGAUUAAACUUUUUUUUUCUGAAGAGAAAUAGCAGAAAUGGAGAAGGAAAUCAUCAUUGGUUCUUGGACUGGGCUGUACAUUAUGAAAGCAUCUGUAGAGAUUUUUAGAGACAUCAGUGCCCCGCCUUCUGGUUUAAUGAACCUGGAGGGGGCUGGGCAUUAGGACUUCUAGAAUGUUCUAGGUGAGUCUGUGCUGAGGUGUCACUCAGCGGGAAGCGCUUGCCUGGCACACACAAGGUCCUGAGGUCACCAGGGGAGGCCAGAGACGACACAGGAAGGCCGGUCAGGAUACCCCGAGGGUGGGCCUGGUGUGACCACGGUGUGAUGGCCAUGAGGCGAGCCACAUUGCAGGGGGUCACCGAGGAAGAAAGCGAGGAAGCAGGCGAGCGUCUGGGGAGCUCGGGGUGAAGGUAGUGAAGCGGCGGUGGGGAGGGGGCCCAGGCCUUUUUGCUGGAAGGGCAUCGCUGUCGUCUGGUCUGCCUGAGGGAAGGGAGCGGGGCCAGAGCAGCUGUGGGGAGCAGAGCAGGGAGGAACUGUCCAGAGCUUUGCAGAGGCCGCUGGAGCUGCUCGGACUAGCACGGGCUGCUUGCUUCUCUGAGCCGCAGGUGAAGACGUUUCUGGAAGGGUGCAGGCCUCCUCUCUGAGAAGGGGGGAUUCCAGUCCCACCCAGGAUCCCCCUUUCCAGGCCCAGCUCCUGGAACUCAGCCUAAUGCUCCUGCCCUCGAAUGCGGCUACCGCUCCCGGACUGGAGGCAGCAGGACCUGAGGGCCCCACCUGGUCACCGUCGCAGUCCUGAGGCACUGCUCUGAGUCCCUGCUGUUCGUGGAGCCCUAGGCACAGCUGGGAAAGAGCGGCUGUGGGGACGGGGCCAGCCGGGACAGCUGCGCUACCUUUCCCUGCAGGGGCGCCUCCUCUGCUGCCCCAGAGCUCACAGCGGCCCUGGCUUCUGGCUACAUCACCGUUGGUCAGGGUUCCUGGAGGAACAGAAAUGGGUAGGAGGCCACCGCAGCGAGGCCCGCGUGUCGCUCACCCACAGACGACUGCAGACUGUGCUGCUAGCACAGCUCAUCUGCCAGGUGUCUCUGAACCCCUGGUCCCCCGAGUGCCAUCCAUCAGGAAAUCCUUGACUCUUGUCUCCAGAAGCAGCCGGAACUGAUCUGCUUCCUGCCUCGAGUUGGGCCAAAUGUGCUCACAGUGGGGUUUGCAGAGGAGCCUCACGUCACGGGGAAGCCUGCCCUGGUCUCCAGCAGGACCUGUCCAUCGGCCUCAGCAGAGCCUCCCUGUCUACGCCAGCUCCGGGGAAGGGCGUAUUCCGUUCGUAGAUGCCAGCUGGUCCCCAACAUGGGACGUUGGCCCUGGCUGCUCCCUGCACCUUCAGGUGCUCAGGCUGUGACCUCAGGACCUGCUUUGUACUUACUUGAUGUAACUGGCAACUUCCUCGGGGAAACCUCGGCCGGUUCAUGAGCCACAGGAGCCCUCCUUACCGAACUCCAGCAUGUAACCCUCAGCAGAGCACC